Molecule: ribosomal RNA, 253 nt
Filed under: uncultured bacterium
Lineage: Bacteria
Description: partial 16S ribosomal RNA
Rfam family: Bacterial small subunit ribosomal RNA
Source: RNAcentral
GACGGAGGGGGCUAGCGUUGUUCGGAUUCAUUGGGCGUAAAGGGUGCGUAGGCGGCGCGGUAAGUCGGGUGUGAAAUCUCGGAGCUUAACUCCGAAACUGCAUUCGAUACUGCCGUGCUUGAGGACUGGAGAGGAGACUGGAAUUUACGGUGUAGCGGUGAAAUGCGUAGAUAUCGUAAGGAAGACCAGUGGCGAAGGCGGGUCUCUGGACAGUUCCUGACGCUGAGGCACGAAGGCCAGGGGAGCAAACGGG